GUGAAGAUUCAAGGGCCAGCCAUACAGACGUACAAUAAGUGUGUCUCUGGCGGCUCGCAUCCGCUAUACAUCCAUAAACCCGUGUGCACUGUUCUAAGGAGUAAGAAAGAAGAAGAAGGGGGAGGGAGAGAGAGUGCAUGUGCUUUGCAUAUAACUCU
RNAcentral lists this unclassified non-coding RNA (158 nucleotides) under uncultured Malassezia. Lineage: Eukaryota; Fungi; Basidiomycota; Malasseziomycetes; Malasseziales; Malasseziaceae. The record is from RNAcentral.